AGCGAACGCUGGCGGCAGGCUUAACACAUGCAAGUCGAGCGGGCGUAGCAAUACGUCAGCGGCAGACGGGUGAGUAACGCGUGGGAACGUACCUUUUGGUUCGGAACAACACAGGGAAACUUGUGCUAAUACCGGAUAAGCCCUUACGGGGAAAGAUUUAUCGCCGAAAGAUCGGCCCGCGUCUGAUUAGCUAGUUGGUGAGGUAACGGCUCACCAAGGCGACGAUCAGUAGCUGGUCUGAGAGGAUGAUCAGCCACAUUGGGACUGAGACACGGCCCAAACUCCUACGGGAGGCAGCAGUGGGGAAUAUUGGACAAUGGGGGCAACCCUGAUCCAGCCAUGCCGCGUGAGUGAUGAAGGCCCUAGGGUUGUAAAGCUCUUUUGUGCGGGAAGAUAAUGACGGUACCGCAAGAAUAAGCCCCGGCUAACUUCGUGCCAGCAGCCGCGGUAAUACGAAGGGGGCUAGCGUUGCUCGGAAUCACUGGGCGUAAAGGGUGCGUAGGCGGGUCUUUAAGUCAGAGGUGAAAUCCUGGAGCUCAACUCCAGAACUGCCUUUGAUACUGAGGAUCUUGAGUUCGGGAGAGGUGAGUGGAACUGCGAGUGUAGAGGUGAAAUUCGUAGAUAUUCGCAAGAACACCAGUGGCGAAGGCGGCUCACUGGCCCGAUACUGACGCUGAGGC
This 680-nucleotide ribosomal RNA is filed under the name uncultured Alphaproteobacteria bacterium. Its description in RNAcentral is "bacterial SSU rRNA". It matches the Rfam family "Bacterial small subunit ribosomal RNA", at positions 28 to 752 of the family's 1533-position model. Lineage: Bacteria; Pseudomonadati; Pseudomonadota; Alphaproteobacteria. The record is from RNAcentral.